Molecule: ribosomal RNA, 756 nt
Filed under: uncultured bacterium
Lineage: Bacteria
Description: bacterial SSU rRNA
Rfam family: Bacterial small subunit ribosomal RNA
Source: RNAcentral
AGAGUUUGAUCAUGGCUCAGAAUCAACGCUGGCGGCGUGCCUAACACAUGCAAGUCGCACGAGAAAGGGGCUUCGGCUUUGAGUAAAGUGGCGCACGGGUGAGUAACACGUGACUAAUCUACCCUCGAGUGGGGAAUAACCUAGAGAAAUCUGGGCUAAUACCGCAUAACACUUACGAGUCAAAGCAGCAAUGCGCUUGGGGAGGAGGUCGCGGCCGAUUAGCUAGUUGGCGGGGUAAUGGCCCACCAAGGCGAUGAUCGGUAUCCGGCCUGAGAGGGCGCACGGACACACUGGAACUGAAACACGGUCCAGACUCCUACGGGAGGCAGCAGUGGGGAAUUUUGCGCAAUGGGGGAAACCCUGACGCAGCAACGCCGCGUGGAGGAUGAAAUAUCUUGGUAUGUAAACUCCUUUCGAUGGGGAAGAUUAUGACGGUACCCAUAGAAGAAGCCCCGGCUAACUUCGUGCCAGCAGCCGCGGUAAUACGAGGGGGGCAAGCGUUGUUCGGAUUUAUUGGGCGUAAAGGGUGCGUAGGCGGUUUGAUAAGUCUGAUGUGAAAUCUAUGGGCUCAACCCAUAGUCUGCAUUAGAAACUGUCGGGCUUGAGUAUGGGAGAGGUGAGUGGAAUUUCCGGUGUAGCGGUGAAAUGCGUAGAUAUCGGAAGGAACACCUGUGGCGAAAGCGGCUCACUGGACCAUAACUGACGCUGAUGCACGAAAGCUAGGGGAGCAAACAGGAUUAGAUACCCUAGUAGUCC